Phrynosoma platyrhinos (Desert horned lizard) is the source of this 72-nucleotide non-coding RNA. The record is from the annotation of a GenBank genome assembly. Lineage: Eukaryota; Metazoa; Chordata; Lepidosauria; Squamata; Phrynosomatidae.
GAUAGUGUGGUGUAGUGGUUUGAAUGUUGGACUACAACUCUGGAGACCAGGGUUCAAAUCUCUGCUUGGGUA